GUGCCUUGCACGAAAUGGGCACACUAUUUAAACCCAUACAGACAGAAAUAUAGUAUUUAUUGGAGUACGUGUCCUCAUGACAAACCUCAACAUGUCUGCUAACUCUAUUUCACGUUUCUAUGUACUCCACAAAAACCAAGACACUAACUAAGGUACUCUUAUAUUUCCCGAGAUAUAACGCAGAAUCUAGAAACAAGGAAUUACAGAAAAGAACGAAACAGAAUCCUAUACUCCGC
This 236-nucleotide unclassified non-coding RNA is filed under the name Hevea brasiliensis (rubber tree). Lineage: Eukaryota; Viridiplantae; Streptophyta; Magnoliopsida; Malpighiales; Euphorbiaceae. The record is from RNAcentral.